GAUGAACGCUGGCGGCGUGCCUAACACAUGCAAGUCGAGCGGCAGCGAGGGGUGCUUGCACCCUGUCGGCGAGCGGCGGACGGCUGAGUAGCGCGUGGGAACGUGCCCCAAAGUGAGGAAUAACUGCCCGAAAGGGUAGCUAAUACCGCAUAUUAUCUUCGGAUCAAAGGAUUUAUCCGCUUUGGGAGCGGCUCGCGUCGGAUUAGGUAGUUGGUGAGGUAAUGGCUCACCAAGCCGACGAUCCGUAGCUGGUCUGAGAGGAUGACCAGCCAGACUGGUACUGAGACACGGUCCAGACUCCUACGGGAGGCAGCAGUGAGGAAUCUUCCACAAUGGGCGAAAGCCUGAUGGAGCAACGCCGCGUGCAGGACGAAGGCCUUCGGGUUGUAAACUGCUUUUAUAAGUGAGGAAUAUGACGGUAACUUAUGAAUAAGGAUCGGCUAACUACGUG
This 451-nucleotide ribosomal RNA is filed under the name uncultured bacterium. Its description in RNAcentral is "partial 16S ribosomal RNA". It matches the Rfam family "Bacterial small subunit ribosomal RNA", at positions 28 to 507 of the family's 1533-position model. The record is from RNAcentral.